AACUUCUGAAUGUUGACCUCGAAUCAGGUAGGAAUACCCGCUGAACUUAAGCAUAUCAAUAAGCGGAGGAAAAGAAACCAACAGGGAUUGCCCCAGUAACGGCGAGUGAAGCGGCAACAGCUCAAAUUUGAAAUCUGGCUCUCGGGCCCGAGUUGUAAUUUGUAGAGGAUGCUUUUGGUGAGGUGCCUUCCGAGUUCCCUGGAACGGGACGCCAUAGAGGGUGAGAGCCCCGUCUGGUUGGACACCGAUCCUCUGUAAAGCUCCUUCGACGAGUCGAGUAGUUUGGGAAUGCUGCUCUAAAUGGGAGGUAUAUGUCUUCUAAAGCUAAAUACCGGCCAGAGACCGAUAGCGCACAAGUAGAGUGAUCGAAAGAUGAAAAGAACUUUGAAAAGAGAGUUAAAAAGUACGUGAAAUUGUUGAAAGGGAAGCGCUUGUGACCAGACUUGGGCUCGGUUGAUCAUCCAGGGUUCUCCCUGGUGCACUCUUCCGGCCCAGGCCAGCAUCAGUUCGCCCCGGGGGAAAAAGGCUUCGGGAAUGUGGCUCUCUCCGGGGAGUGUUA
This 559-nucleotide ribosomal RNA is filed under the name Fusarium obliquiseptatum. Its description in RNAcentral is "eukaryotic LSU rRNA". It matches the Rfam family "Eukaryotic large subunit ribosomal RNA", at positions 1 to 558 of the family's 3401-position model. Lineage: Eukaryota; Fungi; Ascomycota; Sordariomycetes; Hypocreales; Nectriaceae. The record is from RNAcentral.